CGAACGCUGGCGGCGUGCCUAACACAUGCAAGUCGAGGGUUUGAUUUAUCAAGCACUGGCAUCCGGGUGAGUAACGCGUAGGUCAUCUGCCCCUAUCACAGACAUAACAGUUCUAACGGACUGCUAAUAUCUGAUGAGGCGAGCAAUCGUCAAAGCUUUGGCGGAUAGGGAUGAGCCUGCGUCUGAUUAGGUAGUUGGUGAGGUAAUGGCUCACCAAGCCUUCGAUCAGUAGCUGGUCUGAGAGGACGAACAGCCACACUGGAACUGAGACACGGUCCAGACUCCUACGGGAGGCAGCAGUGAGGAAUAUUGGUCAAUGGGCGCAAGCCUGAACCAGCGACGCCGCGUGGGGGAUGAAGGGGCUUUGCCUCGUAAACCUCUGUCGGAUGGGACGAAAGGUGGCUUUGAGCCACUGGGACGGUACCAUCAAAGGAAGGAUCGGCUAACUACGUGCCAGCACCGCG
Molecule: ribosomal RNA, 464 nt
Filed under: uncultured Fibrobacterota bacterium
Lineage: Bacteria; Pseudomonadati; Fibrobacterota
Description: bacterial SSU rRNA
Rfam family: Bacterial small subunit ribosomal RNA
Source: RNAcentral